Molecule: ribosomal RNA, 252 nt
Filed under: uncultured bacterium
Lineage: Bacteria
Description: partial 16S ribosomal RNA
Rfam family: Bacterial small subunit ribosomal RNA
Source: RNAcentral
UACGGAGGAUGCGAGCGUUAUCCGGAUUUAUUGGGUUUAAAGGGUGCGUAGGCGGAUCGUUAAGUCAGUGGUCAAAUUGAGGGGCUCAACCCUUUCCCGCCAUUGAAACUGGCGAUCUUGAGUGGAAGAGAAGUAUGCGGAAUGCGUGGUGUAGCGGUGAAAUGCAUAGAUAUCACGCAGAACCCCGAUUGCGAAGGCAGCAUGCCGGCUUCCUACUGACGCUGAAGCACGAAAGCGUGGGGAUCGAACAGG